Molecule: transfer RNA, 56 nt
Filed under: Triticum urartu
Lineage: Eukaryota; Viridiplantae; Streptophyta; Magnoliopsida; Poales; Poaceae
Rfam family: tRNA
About the family: Transfer RNA (tRNA) molecules are approximately 80 nucleotides in length.
Source: Rfam by way of RNAcentral
GCUUAGUUGGUAGAGCACAAGGCUCUUAACCUUGUGGGCGUGGGUUCAAGCCCCAU